Molecule: non-coding RNA, 198 nt
Filed under: Rhodopseudomonas palustris
Lineage: Bacteria; Pseudomonadati; Pseudomonadota; Alphaproteobacteria; Hyphomicrobiales; Nitrobacteraceae
Also listed under: 1 other name
Source: RNAcentral
GAUACGGUGAACAUCGACGGUUCCCGCAAGGGAUCAAUAGGGAAUGCGGUGAGGAUUCUCGCGAAUCCAAUUCCGCGGCUGCCCCCGCAACUGUAAGCGGCGAGCCUUUCGCCAAGCGCCACUGGGCUUCGAGCCUGGGAAGGCGGCGAAAGGCAGCGACCCGCGAGCCAGGAGACCUGCCGUCGUCGUGGUCACACG